Molecule: ribosomal RNA, 492 nt
Filed under: uncultured bacterium
Lineage: Bacteria
Description: partial 16S ribosomal RNA
Rfam family: Bacterial small subunit ribosomal RNA
Source: RNAcentral
AGUGAACGCUGGCGGUAGGCCUAACACAUGCAAGUCGAACGGCAGCACAGUAAGAGCUUGCUCUUACGGGUGGCGAGUGGCGGACGGGUGAGGGAUACAUCGGAAUCUACUUUUUCGUGGGGGAUAACGUAGGGAAACUUACGCUAAUACCGCAUACGACCUACGGGUGAAAGCAGGGGAUCUUCGGACCUUGCGCGAUUGAAUGAGCCGAUGUCGGAUUAGCUAGUUGGCGGGGUAAAGGCCCACCAAGGCGACGAUCCGUAGCUGGUCUGAGAGGAUGAUCAGCCACACUGGAACUGAGACACGGUCCAGACUCCUACGGGAGGCAGCAGUGGGGAAUAUUGGACAAUGGGCGCAAGCCUGAUCCAGCCAUACUGCGUGGGUGAAGAAGGCCUUCGGGUUGUAAAGCCCUUUUGUUGGGAAAGAAAAGCAGCAGGUUAAUACCCCGCUGUUCUGACGGUACCCAAAGAAUAAGCACCGGCUAACUUCGUG